Molecule: transfer RNA, 114 nt
Rfam family: tRNA
About the family: Transfer RNA (tRNA) molecules are approximately 80 nucleotides in length. Their secondary structure includes four short double-helical elements and three loops (D, anti-codon, and T loops).
GGCAACUUGGCCGAGUGGUCUAAGGCGAUGCACUCAAGGAUUUCUCCUUGCCCCAUCCAAUGGGGUAGAUUUGCAUUAUCGAAAGAUGCGUGAGUUCGAAUCUCACAGUUGUCA